This 530-nucleotide ribosomal RNA is filed under the name uncultured Gram-positive bacterium. Its description in RNAcentral is "bacterial SSU rRNA". It matches the Rfam family "Bacterial small subunit ribosomal RNA", at positions 15 to 521 of the family's 1533-position model. The record is from RNAcentral.
GAUCCUGGCUCAGGACGAACGCUGGCGGCGUGCUUAACACAUGCAAGUCGAACGGGGUGUUUAUUUCGGUAAACACCAAGUGGCGAACGGGUGAGUAACGCGUAAGCAAUCUACCUUCAAGAUGGGGACAACACUUCGAAAGGGGUGCUAAUACCGAAUGAAUGUAAGAGUAUCGCAUGAGACACUUACUAAAGGAGGCCUCUGACAUAAGCUUCCGCUUGAAGAUGAGCUUGCGUCUGAUUAGCUAGUUGGUGAGGGUAAAGGCCCACCAAGGCGACGAUCAGUAGCCGGUCUGAGAGGAUGAACGGCCACAUUGGGACUGAGACACGGCCCAGACUCCUACGGGAGGCAGCAGUGGGGAAUCUUCCGCAAUGGGCGAAAGCCUGACGGAGCAACGCCGCGUGAACGAUGAAGGUCUUAGGAUCGUAAAGUUCUGUUGUUAGGGACGAAGGGUAAGAAUCAUAAUAAGGUUUUUAUUUGACGGUACCUAACGAGGAAGCCACGGCUAACUACGUGCCAGCAGCCGCGGU